RNAcentral lists this ribosomal RNA (450 nucleotides) under uncultured bacterium. RNAcentral's name for it is "partial 16S ribosomal RNA". It matches the Rfam family "Bacterial small subunit ribosomal RNA", at positions 354 to 796 of the family's 1533-position model. The record is from RNAcentral.
GUGGGGAAUAUUGGACAAUGGGCGAAAGCCUGAUCCAGCCAUGCCGCGUGUGUGAAGAAGGUCUUCGGAUUGUAAAGCACUUUAAGUUGGGAGGAAGGGCAGUAAGUUAAUACCUUGCUGUUUUGACGUUACCAACAGAAUAAGCACCGGCUAACUUCGUGCCAGCAGCCGCGGUAAUACGAAGGGUGCAAGCGUUAAUCGGAAUUACUGGGCGUAAAGCGCGCGUAGGUGGUUCAGCAAGUUGAAGGUGCAGUCCCCGAGCUCAACCUGGGAGCUGCCUCCAGAACUGCAUGACUAGAGUACGGUAGAGGGUAGUGGAAUUUCCUGUGUAGCGGUGAAAUGCGUAGAUAUAGGAAGGAACACCAGUGGCGAAGGCGACUACCUGGAAUGAUACUGACACUGAGGUGCGAAAGCGUGGGGAGCAAACAGGAUUAGAAACCCCUGUAGUCC